AAAGAAUUUGGCGGUGUUUUAUUCUAAUCAGAGGAACUUGCCCCGUUAUCGAUAGUCCUCGUUAUAUCUUUCUUGAUUUAUUUAGUAUGUAUACCGCCGUUAUAAGUUUAUUUUUUUAGAAUUUAUUUACUGGUAAUUUUAUUUUAUUUUAUUUCAGGUCAAGGUGCAGCUUAUAAUUAAGUGGAGGUGAGUUACAAUAUUAUUUAAAUAAAUGGAUUUUUUUUUUGAAAAUUUUAAUGAAGGUGGAUUUGAUGGUAAUUUUAUUUAUAGAUUUAUUUUGAAUUUAGCUCUAAAACAAGUACACAUCGCCCGUCGCUC
Molecule: ribosomal RNA, 318 nt
Filed under: Euobrimus dohrni
Lineage: Eukaryota; Metazoa; Arthropoda; Insecta; Phasmatodea; Heteropterygidae
Description: partial 12S ribosomal RNA
Source: RNAcentral